Molecule: ribosomal RNA, 457 nt
Filed under: uncultured bacterium
Lineage: Bacteria
Description: bacterial SSU rRNA
Rfam family: Bacterial small subunit ribosomal RNA
Source: RNAcentral
AUUGAACGCUGGCGGCAUGCCUUACACAUGCAAGUCGAACGGCAGCACGGGAGCAAUCCUGGUGGCGAGUGGCGAACGGGUGAGUAAUAUAUCGGAACGUGCCCAGUCGUGGGGAUAACGUAGCGAAAGCUACGCUAAUACCGCAUACGAUCUAUGGAUGAAAGCGGGGGAUCGCAAGACCUCGCGCGAUUGGAGCGGCCGAUAUCAGAUUAGGUAGUUGGUGAGGUAAAGGCUCACCAAGCCGACGAUCUGUAGCUGGUCUGAGAGGACGACCAGCCACACUGGGACUGAGACACGGCCCAGACUCCUACGGGAGGCAGCAGUGGGGAAUUUUUGGACAAUGGGCGCAAGCCUGAUCCAGCAAUGCCGCGUGCAGGAUGAAGGCCUCGGUUGUAACUGCUUUGUUACGGACGAACGGUAGAGGCUCUAAUACAGUUGUCUAAUGACGGUACCGUAA